GUUACCACAGGCUUUAGCCUCUAACCAGUGGGGAUGCUAAGAAGAACAUGUGGUGUGGGGUUUUAAUUAAAUCACCAUGGCUACCAGAAACGGGGGAAGGUUAAAGAUUCUGUUUCAUAAGUAGUCAAGACAAGAGGACUGACAAGACCUAAAGCAUACAGACAUGGACACAUACUUUAGAAAGUAUAACAAUGAUCGCAUGUUUGUACAAAUGUAGGAGAAAAGGAGAGAAAGACAAUCAGUUUGUAAAAGGACCACAGAGAAUUCAGAAUGGAGCUUGGGAUUCGGGCAUUCACUGCAUGCAAUUUGAGAAUGAAAUGCUGGUGAUGCUAAGUGAGAAGAGCACUUGCUUGGCCUGACCACGGGUGGCAGCUCAAGUUUCUGCAGUAGAAGAGAAGGCGGCUGAUGCAUCCUGCAUAAUGUACCUGAGCGAGUUUACUGAUGAUACCCAGAUGAGCAGCUGGAAUCAUGGAAGAAAUGCGGCCAUCACUUCAAAAGCACUCCAGGUAGAAGAGGCAAUUGUAGGAGAAAUCCUAUUACAAAAACAUAUGGAACAGCUGCAAAUGUAACGUUUUGCUUUAUUCCUUGGAACAAAACCACAAGAAAGUUCAAAAAAUAACACGCACUUCUAAAGCUACCACUUAAAAUCAAGAAAUGCCAAUACUUUAUACUUUGUCAAUUGAUCAAUAAAAAUUAGACAUUUUUGAGGGAGAGAACUGUCCCUUUCUUUUUCUGUCUUAU
RNAcentral lists this long non-coding RNA (741 nucleotides) under Chinchilla lanigera (long-tailed chinchilla). RNAcentral describes it as "lncRNA (ENSCLAG00000024381.1)". The record is from RNAcentral. Lineage: Eukaryota; Metazoa; Chordata; Mammalia; Rodentia; Chinchillidae.